UACAGAGGGUGCGAGCGUUGUUCGGAAUCAUUGGGCGUAAAGCGCGCGUAGGCGGCUUUGCAAGUCGGAUGUGAAAGCCCCGGGCUCAACCCGGGAAGUGCAUUCGAAACUGCAUGGCUUGAGUUCCGGAGAGGGUGGUGGAAUUCCGAGUGUAGAGGUGAAAUUCGUAGAUAUUCGGAGGAACACCAGUGGCGAAGGCGACCACCUGGACGAGAACUGACGCUGAGGUGCGAAAGCGUGGGGAGCAAACAGG
RNAcentral lists this ribosomal RNA (253 nucleotides) under uncultured bacterium. RNAcentral's name for it is "partial 16S ribosomal RNA". It matches the Rfam family "Bacterial small subunit ribosomal RNA", at positions 524 to 776 of the family's 1533-position model. The record is from RNAcentral.